UAUUACAUUUCUGCUAGGGACUUAGUAUUUCGAAUAUAUUUACAUAUCUUAUCUUUUUCUAAUCUGCUCAUUAAUCCUGUAAAAAAGUAUCAUUAUCCUGGUUUCAUAAUAAGGAAACUGGGCUCAUAGAGGUAAAGAAACCAGGGAGCUUAUUGAAAAUGCGAAUUUUCAGGCCUCCUCCCAGGCCUCUGAAUGAGAAUCUCUGCGGGUUGCUUCAGCAAUCAGUCUUAAUGGUUUCUCCAGGUGAUUCCGAGGCACGCUGAAGGUUGAGGAGCACUGCAUUACAGAGCUGGAAGAAACUGCAUGGACCAGGAAGACAGCAAUUCUGGAAGCGCUGCAGCCAACCAGAACUAUUCAGUCCAUUAGACACAAAGGGAAAGCAGCUGGGCCCAAGGAAUGCCUCUCCGGUGGUAAGUCACACUCUGGGUUAGUCCUUCAACUGAGUCCAGAACGCUUUGGUCCUGAGAAUGAACCCAUGUACCCUGUAACAGAGGAAAUUUCAAAGCUGUUAGCAGUAUUCAU
RNAcentral lists this long non-coding RNA (522 nucleotides) under Callithrix jacchus (white-tufted-ear marmoset). RNAcentral describes it as "lncRNA (ENSCJAG00000070334.1)". Lineage: Eukaryota; Metazoa; Chordata; Mammalia; Primates; Cebidae. The record is from RNAcentral.